UAUCUGGGCUGGUGAUGGGGAGACAGGGACACAGACAGCAUUCCUCUGCCCAGCCUAAACUGAGGUCAGAUUCUUCCCUGCUCCCUGUGGAGCAGUGGUUCUCAGCCCCUGACACACACUAGAGUCAUCUGGGAGCUUAUAAACCAUGGUGCCAGGGCCCACUCCACGGGAUCCUAAUUUCAAUGCUCAGGGCUGGGACCCGGACAUCAGUAUCUAUGAAGAGUCAUAUGUGUGACUCCACUGUGCAGCCAGAGGCGUGAACCACAGCUGUGGAGAGAGGGGCAGCAGGGUGGAAAGACAGGGGCUGUUUUCUGGAGGAACCUCAUUAAGCUCUGGGCAUGCAAAAGAUUACUUUAUGGAGGGAAUUCGAGAGGGAGCCCUUCAGCCCUCACCCCAUCCCAGCCUUGGGACCCUGCAGGCUUAGGCAGGCAGCAGUGGGGAACCAGUGUGCAAGGGAAGCGGGAGGGAGACUUCUGGCAUGCAGAAGAGAAGCUCAGAGUGGCAGCAGCGCCCGUUCAGCUGGAGCAAGCUGCUGCCGUGGAUGCGCUGCCAUGUAGCUUGAGGGCAGUGGAAUGCAGGCAGGUGGCAGGCACAGAAGAAGAGAGGAGAUGUGCUUUGAGCACUCACAGAACAGCCCCCGGGGUCCCCCAGAAUCAACCACUGGGACUUGUGUGGGAGGGAGUCCACAGGUGAGGGUCAUUGGCAUUGGGUUAGCAACGGUGCUCUGUUGUGCACCAACCUCAAAUGCACUCAAGGCUGCGUUUCUGCAAGUCCCCGUCCACUUCCUAAGCGUCUUUCUUCCUCCAGCAUCCCCUAGUCUCCACCUCUAACUGCACGACAAGAAGAGCAUCAGACUCCCCCUGACGAUGAGGGGGCGUCCAUCAGGAGGGGGCAUUCCUGGUGCUAAAUGCCUUGACUGAGGCUCGCAAGAACAACUGCUCUCCAUUGAAGGAUUAGCUGAAAGCCUGUGACUGCAAAUGAAAUCAAAGGGGCUAAUGAGAAACCUUUGCACAGCGCAGGUUGCCCUGGAAUCAGGUAAUCAGAUGCUGCCUUAAUGGUGGCUACUUACGGGAAAGGAGGCCCUGGGCAGCAUUUCUACAUGUAAUUAUGCUCUCAUCCCAACCCUGCUACUAAGGGAACGUGAACUUUACUGCCGUGCUCACCACCGGUUUUCAUUUUACUGCACAGGCUGACUCGUAUUCCACCAGGAAGAUGAAAGAUUUCAGGUUCCGAGGCUGUCAGACAUUUCCACUUAUGAAUUUAGCAAGACUCCUAAAUCAUGACUGAGGCACAGCUUCCAAUCUCUCUGCCCUCAUUUUCAGGCUUUCUAAUAUCUCCCCUGCUCUUUGGGUAUCUUGGAGCCAUCACACUAAUAGGAACAAUUUAAUGGAGUCCUGGGGAGGCAGGGGCUCGGAGGAUUACGUUUCAACACUUGGCUCCUUAUCGUAGAGAAACACCCUUCCUUCAUAGAUGCCCUGGCUUCCAGACAUGCUCGUUUCUCUCUCUCAGCUCAGCCAGCUGUGCACCUGAUCAGGGCUGUAGAAUUAGAAAUUUGGUUACUGCUCUGUCUUUAAUCUCAGUUCCAGCCAAGGAUGGCUUGAGGGCACAUAAGUGCUAAUCAAAACUUAGGAGUGACCAUCAAUAUGCAAAGACCAAAGAAUCAUUUUUCUCAAUGCUCCGAAGUCCAGUCUUAAUCAAAGCCCGGCCCUCUGCCUCCGGCCCUCCAUAAGCAUCCGCCAAGUAACCCCAGCUAGAGUCCUUGAGGUUUUCCCAAACUCCAUCUUCCACCACCCCC
Equus caballus (horse) is the source of this 1795-nucleotide long non-coding RNA. The record is from Ensembl. Lineage: Eukaryota; Metazoa; Chordata; Mammalia; Perissodactyla; Equidae.